Salvia splendens (bonfire salvia) is the source of this 124-nucleotide small nucleolar RNA. RefSeq annotates it as small nucleolar RNA snoR74. The record is from RefSeq and is a predicted model, not a curated record. NCBI's taxonomy places the organism in Eukaryota, Viridiplantae, Streptophyta, Magnoliopsida, Lamiales, Lamiaceae. The transcript has a single exon.
AAAAACCUGUUUAAACUAGAAGGCAGGAGAAUCCCCGUUUGUCAGGGAUAAUAGAGUGAGUCGUUGUUUUUGGGUGAACCUCAUAUCUUCUUUGAUAUGUGGUUCAGUAAAUGAUGAUACAUCU